Molecule: ribosomal RNA, 201 nt
Filed under: Limosilactobacillus reuteri
Lineage: Bacteria; Bacillati; Bacillota; Bacilli; Lactobacillales; Lactobacillaceae
Description: Lactobacillus reuteri partial 23S ribosomal RNA
Rfam family: Bacterial large subunit ribosomal RNA
Source: RNAcentral
ACCAAAGUGCGACGUAGUCGCAACAGUUGGGAAGCUGUGCCAUAGAGGGUGAAAGCCCCGUAGACGAAACGUCACACUCUCUGUUCAGGAUCCUGAGUACGGCGGGACACGUGAAACCCCGUCGGAACCCGCGAGGACCAUCUCGCAAGGCUAAAUACUCCCUAGUGACCGAUAGUGAACCAGUACCGUGAGGGAAAGGUG